UAUUUACUUAAAUAACCUCUACACCCAAUAUGGACCUCAAACUCAAUGACCCUGAGAUCAAGAGUCACAUACUCUUUUGACUGAGCCAGCUAGAUGCCCCUAACCUCAACAUUCUUUGAUGAGGUAAUGUUAAAAUAAACUUUAUAAAGUCACAUCUUAGCAUUAAAAUGUUAUUAAUUUUAAAAGAUUGAGAAGUGAGAAUAAAUUUGUUGUUUUGGAAAUAAAAUAUAAAGGAAAUAUAUAUAUAUUUUCUGGUUCUCACUCUUAAUUACAUUUCCUGCAAUAAGCUUAGAACUCAUAUCAGUAUACCUAACAUUUGGCUACCUGGUAACUGGAAUUAGUAGUAUAUAAAUGAUCACUUCGAUAUUCCACAAAAAUCAUUUCAAGGUAUAUCAGAUGAUGAGUACAAUUUGCCAUAUACAGUAUAUGUUCCUAUAAAUAGGAAACUCAGUUGUCAUUUAAAUUAUUAUUAUUAUUGUAGAUACUUACAGUAUUGUAGAUAUUUGGUUUAAACCACAUAAAGAAUAUGUAAGAAUUUAGAUAGAAUUGUUGAAAAAGAUUAAUAAAAAGGAAAAUAUAAAUUGAUAAUAUAUGCUAAUAGCAACUGCAUGUGUAAUAUACCUGAUUUACUUAGUUCACAAAGCUAGAGAACUAGAAAUAAAGCAAUCCCCAUUCCCUUUUCUUAUGUUUCUUCAUCCUGUUGUUCAUAUCUCAAUUUUACACCUCAAAUUUCUCUUAAAUCGGCUCCAUCCUUUUUAUCACCACUUAUUAUACUUCAAAACAGCAUCAAUUCCCUUCUGAAUUGCCAAAAACAUUAUUGAACCCAUCUUCUCCCUUUCAUUCUUCCUUCCUUCCAAUGGAUCUGCCAAUGGAUUAUUUUAAAGUAUUCAUUUAAGCUUUUCUCUCAGCUUUAUAAGACCAUGGCUUUUUAAUGCCAAAUACCAAUAUAUACCAAUAUUUUAGUGCACAGGAUCAUCUGAAUGUUUUGUCUAAAAAAAAGUUUCUCAGGACCCUAUUUCAGAGUUUCUGAUUCAGUAGUUUUGAGGAGGCCUUGACGAUUAGCAUUUUUCCAGGUGAUGAUGGUCUUAGGACUAUAAUUUGAGAACUACUGAUUCAAUGUGACGUAAAAUGUUCCCCAUGAUCUCAUUUGCUUCCUUCUCAAACUUAAUCUUUCACUGUAUUUUCAAAUUUAUUCAUAUUCCUAAUAGGCCUAAAUAAAUAUGGGCCUAAAUAAAAAUGGGCUGUUUCUAUAUUCCAUACAGGAUAUGUCGAUUCUUUCUGAAACAUCCUCUAUUUCACUACUUCAUUGUUCUGCAACCUGUCUUCUUGGCUUGCUGAUGAUCACAUUCAAGAUUCAGUUCAAACUUAGUUUUGGCUUGGAAACAUUCCCAGACUCUCUUGUAUAAUCUUCUUGUAGCUCAGAUGGUACCUGUGCAUGAUACUUACCGAAAUGUAAUUAAGAGGGCUUUUUUUGUUUUGCAUUCUAUCAUUAUGAGUUUCUCACCUUAUUUAUCUCUGUAUAUUUAGAAAUGUCUGACAUUCAGCUCUAAUAAUAUUUCCUACAAAGUGAAAAAUGCACAUUCCAAUCAUUGAAAAAGAACAUAAAUAAUAACAAAAAAUGUCUAUUUGAUUAAUAAUAUUCUUAAUGUCUUCUCUUUUAAAGCCCUUUUAAAGCUAUUCUUAUUUUUUAUAAGUAAGGGUAAUUUCUUGUGUGUUGUGAAUUUUUAUGAUUACGUAAAAUAUUGGUAAUAUUAUAUAUUAUAUCCUAUAUAAUUAUUUUUAGGGUGAAACAGUACAUUUUUGCUGUUUUCAUUUUCCUUAUUUAAUAUGUACUAAAAUGGUAAAGAAAGAAAAUGUAAUAUAUAAAGUGACUGUUUAUUAUUACUUUAUGUUAAAGAAUAUAUAUUAUUGUGAACUUACUACAUGGCAGGCACUAUUCUAAUUUAUAUUUCCCAAAACUGAGAGAUAAUAGUAAAUGGUAUAGCAGCAGAUUGAGAAUAUCUGACCAUUGUUGCAUCAUCUCAUCUUCAUCCUGUAUAGUGUGGUUGGUUAAAUUUGUGUAACAAUGUCAGCUUACUAUAUAAUACAAGUGACCUACAGCUCUCCUAAGACAUAUUUAUGUCAAGUGUAGGCUCCAGCAAAGGGAAUGCAGCUACUGAGG
Molecule: long non-coding RNA, 2161 nt
Filed under: Canis lupus familiaris (dog)
Lineage: Eukaryota; Metazoa; Chordata; Mammalia; Carnivora; Canidae
Description: lncRNA (ENSCAFG00000053998.1, ENSCAFG00805011322.1, ENSCAFG00845012683.1)
Source: RNAcentral